UUAAUAAUGAUAGGUCUCGAUAUAAAAGAUAAAACUAAGUUGCGUAACUGUAAGCAGCAGAUCAGACAAGUAUCCUAUCUUUGCAUUUACUUUAUGCAAUGGACACGAGUAAGAAAUUUUCAGAAUUAUAUUAUCUGUGUGUCAGAUUAUUUACUCGAUUGUUAUUGAUUAUGUAUCCAAACAUUUGUAUUCAUACAAGUUCUUAAAUUCUAUUCGAUCUUUGUUUAUCAACACAGUAUUAUUGUACAAUCCAGAUAUCUAUUAUGUUCGUUAAUUUCUAAGCAUGGUUAUAAAAGUGUUGUCACUUGGAUAAUUAUUGUAUUUAAUCACAUGUUGAUACAUACUUAUUGGUUUCUAGUAUGUAUACAUUAACUUAAGAGUCGUCUAAGUUAUUUGACUCGGCUAGACACAAAUUUAAAAAUAUUGUUGAUCAUGAUAGUUCGUUAUUGAUAUCCAACCGAAUUGUUUUGGUUCGGAUUCUAGAUUAAUUAUGAACAUCCCGACUAUGAAAAACUUUUGUGUCUAAGGCGGAUAUGUUGGACGAAAAUAUCGUUUGAACAUGUAGUAGUAAUCAAUAUAGGGCAUAACGGGCUGAUCACCCCCGUGCCUGUAAGUUAUGACGGUUUACAAAUGAAGUUCUGUUUAACCUUUUCAAAAAUUGAAAACAAUGUUCAUAGUUUGUCGACUGCUCUCUAUUUAUAGUCAGUAUGUAGUUUUAAAAAUUUGAAAUAAAAUUGAUAUGUUGUUUAUUGUUACUUCAGCUUACUUCACAACUGUUGAUUCGUUGUAGAAGUGCCCUUCACAGAAAACAUUUAAUUCUUUCAGCUAACUUUUAUUGAUUGUUAUUACUUGUUGGGUAAUCAAAUGCUCAUUCUUGCUUAAUUUAAAUAUUUUCAGUUAAGUGUGAUCAACCAGAAGGCUCUGCCAAGAACAAAGGGAAAUGAAAGCUGACAGAAUAAGUUUGUGUUAUCUUAUGUAAUAUCUAGACUUAAUUAAGAUGAUAAUAUUUAUUAACUAUCAUGUAAUAAAUGUUUUAAA
Molecule: long non-coding RNA, 1038 nt
Filed under: Panax ginseng (ginseng)
Lineage: Eukaryota; Viridiplantae; Streptophyta; Magnoliopsida; Apiales; Araliaceae
Description: long non-coding RNA (PGIN_LNC013427)
Source: RNAcentral